RNAcentral lists this ribosomal RNA (253 nucleotides) under uncultured bacterium. RNAcentral describes it as "partial 16S ribosomal RNA". It matches the Rfam family "Bacterial small subunit ribosomal RNA", at positions 524 to 776 of the family's 1533-position model. The record is from RNAcentral.
GACAGAGGUGCCAAGCGUUAGGCGGAAUCACUGGGCUUAAAGCGUGUGUAGGCGGACUUGUAAGUACCUUGUGAAAUCCCACGGCUCACCCGUGGAACUGCUGGGUAUACUGGCGAUCUUGAGCCACUUAGGGGCUACCGGAACAAAUGGUGGAGCGGUGAAAUGCGUAGAUAUCAUUUGGAACGCCAAUGGUGAAAACAGGUAGCUGGGAGUGUGCUGACGCUGAGACACGAAAGCCAGGGGAGCAAACGGG